GUUGUCCUUCAGUGGUAGAGUGCUUGCCUAGCAUGUGUGAGGCACUGGGUUCGAGUCUCAGGACCACA
Molecule: transfer RNA, 68 nt
Filed under: Marmota monax (woodchuck)
Lineage: Eukaryota; Metazoa; Chordata; Mammalia; Rodentia; Sciuridae
Description: tRNA.Ala
Source: RNAcentral